This is a long non-coding RNA of Monodelphis domestica (gray short-tailed opossum), 662 nucleotides long. RefSeq lists it as uncharacterized. Lineage: Eukaryota; Metazoa; Chordata; Mammalia; Didelphimorphia; Didelphidae. The record is from RefSeq and is a predicted model, not a curated record.
CCUAGAUCUGUAAGAAGAAGGACCACAGAAUAGGGCAUGAUUUGGAUCUUGGUCCCCAACAAUCAUAUGAUUUGUUCAUAGAUUUCAACACAGCAAAAGUUCAGCAUUUUUUCUAUUGGUUCCAGGCACUAGGUACCAGGACUCUGAAAAGAUUCUAUAUUCUGGUAGCUAAAUUUGGUAUUUGAAAUUAGCUGUCAUUUUCCCUAUGCCUUUGAGUUUGACAUUGGACAGAUGAUGCUGGGUAAAGGAUCGGGGAUGCUCUUUGAGUCAUAAUCAAGUGGGAGCCCAAUUGCAAGGUCAGUGCCCUACAACAGAGCCCCGAGGAUCCAAGAGAUGUCUUACUUAUUGGCCUUCUUGCCCUCUGUCUGAGGCUUGCCAUCUGUCUCUGCUUCACUCAGCUCUUCAGUAGGGCUCUGGGGUUCAGAGCGAGGAAACGCCGUCUUCAAGUUCACAGACCUCAGACCACGUUGGGAUCAGUGAACCCCAGGUCAAGAACCUCUGCCCGAGAAGCUCCUUGAGGACAGAGAUUGCUUCUUCUUUGUCUUUGUGUCCCUUGGCCUAACAAAGUUCUUGGCUCGUAACAGGUAGUUAAUUCAUAGUUGAUGAUUGACUAGUUGAUACAUAGCGAGACCCAGUUGAAGGUUGUAACCAGAAAGUCAAUA